This 282-nucleotide long non-coding RNA is filed under the name Gossypium barbadense (sea-island cotton). RNAcentral describes it as "long non-coding RNA (GBAR_LNC011581)". Lineage: Eukaryota; Viridiplantae; Streptophyta; Magnoliopsida; Malvales; Malvaceae. The record is from RNAcentral.
GCUAUAUCAGGAUAGGAUCACCCGUCCGGGCUAGAUCCUUUUUACCGCCAAUUCCUUUUCAGAGAUCCAUCAAAUUUUCCUUUCAUUCAACCGGGAUUUCUUCCCAUUUUAUCAAAUAUAUCAAUGUUUCAUUAAUUUUCAUACAAUGAACAUUCAAAUCAUAUUCGCAUCAAUAACAUACAUUUCAAGCAUUUAAGAAUAUAAUUCAAGUUACACGAACUUACUUGGCGAAAUUGCAAAAAUAUCAAGAUUUAGGAGUAUUUUGGUAAUUUACCAUUUUCC